CCAUAGACAUGGAAAAAGGAAACUGUGCGUAAAAGAAUGGCUAUAUGCGAGUGCAAGAUCAACCUAGCUGUGAUGGCCUGCUAAAUCUGGUUGUCACUGCAAUUGGUGUGUCCACAGUGGCUAUUUAGGCACCCAGGCGGCUUCACGUCUGGAACAUUGGACUUCUGAACUUCUGAAUUUCUUCACUUCUACAUUUUUGAUCUUUUUACAUACUUACAUUCUUUACUAGUCACCCCUUUUAGCAGUCGUUCCUUUUUCCUGUCAGUAUAGCAUCUUUCCGCAACACUGAAGGUAGUAAGAAAA
Molecule: small RNA, 303 nt
Filed under: Histoplasma ohiense
Lineage: Eukaryota; Fungi; Ascomycota; Eurotiomycetes; Onygenales; Ajellomycetaceae
Description: hypothetical lncRNA
Source: RNAcentral